AUUGAACGCUGGCGGCAGGCCUAACACAUGCAAGUCGAGCGGAGGGGCGGACGGGUGAGUAAUGCCUAGGAAUCUGCAUGGUAGUGGGGGAUAACGUACGGAAACGGGAGCUAAUACCGCAUACUAUCAGAAGAGCCUAGGUCGGAUUAGCUAGUGGGGGGGGUAAAGGCCUACCAAGGCGACGACCCUUAACUGGUCUGAGAGGAUGAUCAGUCACACUUGAACGUAGACACUGUCCAGACCCCUACGGGAGGCAGCAGUGGGGAAUAUUGGACAAUGGGCGAAAGCCGGAUCCAGCCAUGCCGCGUGUGUGAAGAAGGUCUUCGGAUUGUAAAGCUCUUUAAGUUGGGAGGCGUUACCAACAGAAUAAGCACCGGCUAACUUCGUGCCAGCAGCCGCGGUAAUAC
RNAcentral lists this ribosomal RNA (407 nucleotides) under uncultured bacterium. Its description in RNAcentral is "partial 16S ribosomal RNA". It matches the Rfam family "Bacterial small subunit ribosomal RNA", at positions 30 to 526 of the family's 1533-position model. The record is from RNAcentral.